ACGAAUUCCUAUUCUUUCUUUUCAUAUCCUUUCUUUUCAUUUCUCUAUCUACUGCUUUCCUUUUCCUUAGUCUAUUCCCCUUGUUCAUGAAUGGCCAUUGUGUCGGCAAUUAGCGGCACUACAAUACACAUCGAUUAUUUCAUCUCCUUAAUUUUGUAAGCGAUCUUUGUGCAAAUGAGGCAUCUUGUAGAUAUUUCUGCCUUGAUCUUUCAUGACUGCUUGGAGUGUGAUGAAGCUCUUGAACAACUUAUGGGCAUCAUAGUUCUCAAACUCCUCCUCUACACCGUGUAUCAGUUCCCGGAUAUUCAUAGGCGCUCUGUAGUCGGUUAGGGAUUGGAGAGAGCGGUGGAAGCACGGGUCUAAAACAUUGAACUCGGGGCUGUUUUAGGUUGUUAUAACAAUCGAAUGUCCAAAUCUGUUUGUUCCACUGCUUCUCGAAAACCUGCAUCAUUAGGGAGGACAUGAGGCCUUGCAUUAUCCUGUUGAAUGAAUAUUGUGGUGCCCUCGUCGUCGUCGGGCCACUUGUCUUGGAUUGCGAGGAUUACUUUAUUGAUCAAGUACUCUCUCCAUACAUGUCUGGUUACCUUCACUGGUUUCACCUCAAUUGUUCCUCUAUCUCUAUUUUGACUGCUCCACUGUGCCUUAGUCUCAACAACAAAUGCCCAAGUGCCAAUCUUUCCAUUGAAUGUGAUCUCCUCAUCGUCGUUGUAUCAGGGAUUUGCCACGACGGUCAAGAACAUGACCUUCCCAAUGUUGUUAGUGUUUGACACGGUGCGCUCGGGUUCAGUUUCUCAGGGCAGUACAUAAUAAUUGUUCUUAACUCUGGUCAUAUCAUACCAUUUCUCGUCUAUAUGAAUCAUAUUAUUCAUUGAUUUGAAGCUAGGAUAUGGGGUUGAUAUCCAGUGCUCAUCCAUCAUGGAUAUGCAUAAUUUCAGUCUCGCUAUCUGGUUGUCUGGCUUGAGGAAGGGCUUGACUGUCUUUGUGAUGUGUUUCGGCUCUUGCAACUGAAACCUAUCGUGUAGCAUCGAGCGGGGAACACCCAAACACCUUGCAAGAGAUCGGAUCGUUCUUCUUCUAUUCAACGGGGUUGUAGUUGUUCUCGACAGAUCUAGCUCUUUCCUCUUCCUACCAGUGUUUCCCUUCUUCUUGUUUGAAACAUCAACUUCUU
This 1168-nucleotide long non-coding RNA is filed under the name Hordeum vulgare. RNAcentral describes it as "long non-coding RNA (HVUL_LNC013723)". The record is from RNAcentral. Lineage: Eukaryota; Viridiplantae; Streptophyta; Magnoliopsida; Poales; Poaceae.